UGGGGAAUAUUGCACAAUGGGCGCAAGCCUGAUGCAGCCAUGCCGCGUGUAUGAAGAAGGCCUUCGGGUUGUAAAGUACUUUCAGCGGGGAGGAAGGGAGUAAAGUUAAUACCUUUGCUCAUUGACGUUACCCGCAGAAGAAGCACCGGCUAACUCCGUGCCAGCAGCCGCGGUAAUACGGAGGGUGCAAGCGUUAAUCGGAAUUACUGGGCGUAAAGCGAACGCAGGCGGUCUGUCAAGUCGGAUGUGAAAUCCCCGGGCUCAACCUGGGAACGGCAUCUGGUACUGGCAAUCAUGAGUCUCGUAGAGGGGGGUAGAAUUCCAGGUGUAGCGGUGAAAUGCGUAGAGAUCUGGAGGAAUACCGGUGGCGAAGGCGGCCACCUGGACGAAGACUGACGCUCAGGUGCGAAAGCGUGGGGAGCAAACAGG
Molecule: ribosomal RNA, 429 nt
Filed under: Chloroflexota bacterium
Lineage: Bacteria; Bacillati; Chloroflexota
Description: Chloroflexi bacterium partial 16S ribosomal RNA
Rfam family: Bacterial small subunit ribosomal RNA
Source: RNAcentral